Molecule: long non-coding RNA, 447 nt
Filed under: Mytilus galloprovincialis (Mediterranean mussel)
Lineage: Eukaryota; Metazoa; Mollusca; Bivalvia; Mytilida; Mytilidae
Source: RNAcentral
GUCUAUCAGAUCAUGUUGGAUUUUGAAUAGCAUGCAUAGCCUAUUUUGUUUCCUGCGGUCUUCAAGGCUUUCCCAUUUUAAAGAUGUUACCAUUUUUGUUACACAGCCAGGUGUGCGGUCUGUGUAGUUGUUGUUUACAAAUCUAGCUGCUCUUUUCUGUACUUGUUCGAUUGCUUUUAUUUUAGCCUGUUUCGUAGGAUCCCAUACUGUGCAAGCAUACUCAACUGAAGGUCUUACUAUUGUUGAAUAUGCUGCUGCUUUGACCGGUUUAGUGCAAUCUUUUAGGUUACGUCGUAUGAAGCCUAGUGUUUUGUUUCCUUUUCCCACUAUGUUGUCGAUGUGUCUGUCCCAGGUUAAAUUGUUGCUGAUAGUAACUCCCAGGUAUUUACUAGCUUCAACGGUGUCCAGUGUGUGUCCGUGUAAUUUGUAAUUAGUUGGUAUUACAGG